AGAAAAAAUCGAGGAGAACAUGGCUAGUCAACCAGCAGCUCCUACUUAACUUCAGCCUUGGCCCUUGAACCUUCAGAUAAACAAUCCGUGUCUGAUUCUAUUUGUUUAUCAAGCUCCCUAGAAAAUAUGCAGCUGUCACCAAUUAACAUUUGGAUUCAAUAUUCGGAAUUUCGGAUGAUAAGCUGUCUGAAAAUUUUGGAAGCAAUCCAGCGAGGCAGCGAUCCAGCCGUUCAUUCGUUUGUGGUUUGUGGAUGCUGAGGACUGUCGCUAGGUGGCGAGUGCCCAUUCGUUAGUGACAAUUUGUGCCAUUUGUUUCCGAGACGCUGUGCGAGUGAGAUAAUUAAUGCAAAUCGUAAUGGUUUACUGCGAAUUAAAUAGUUAUUUGUAUGGCAUCAUAGCGUGCAAUUUCUACUUGGCAAUUUCAUCUGAUCGUGUGGAACAGCUGUACAUUUUGCCAAAAUAUCUCUUUUCCUAUACCUGAAGUGCACGUUUCGUCAACUUCAGAACAAUUAAAGAUUAACAGCCUGGUAAAGUCUUCAGAGCUCCCUUGUUGUUGCACAACAUGCACAUGGAUUUGAUGUAGCCAGAUGGUUAAAGGUAUUCAUCUUGCUACUUGUCCUGCUGUAUGUUUCUUUACAUGAAGAAGUCUCAUUUACCUUUACUGUGAACUUCAAUAGAUGUGCACUAAUUGAAGGCCAGUUGUUCCCUAGUUGAUGUCCGAUGUGGGACGUUGUUGCAGCCUAUGCUGGUGAAAGAUCUUUUUACAUCUCAUGUUAAACUGCAGGCUGUUCCUUGGUGCUGGUGUCGUGUUACCGAAGUUGCAUCAUUGUUUUGUUUGAUUGUCAUUGGGUCUGCAGUUUAUCGUUUACAUGUUAUGAGGGAACAAAAACAGAAAUCUGGGGAAUUCAUGUCAAACAAUUAAUAAACAUGUUUUGAGAUUGGGAAAGGAAUGUAGAGGAUGUUGGGGGGGGGGAGAUUGAAUUUUAAAAAAAAUUUAGAGGUUUGUUGUAAAUAAAAUAUUACCUACAUGUUAGGUAAUGAUUAAAACCAUAACUUAUAAUCCCACCAUAAUACACCGUCAUAUUUUUCCCACAUCCCUAUAACCUUUAAUCCAACAAACAUACCUACAUAUAGUUUUCCUUUCCAUAUAACUCUUGUAAUGUGCAAUAUGAAUUUAAUAGUCAAUAAAAUCUAAAUUGUUU
Daphnia pulex (common water flea) is the source of this 1202-nucleotide long non-coding RNA. RefSeq lists it as uncharacterized. The record is from RefSeq and is a predicted model, not a curated record. The transcript is spliced from 5 exons. NCBI's taxonomy places the organism in Eukaryota, Metazoa, Arthropoda, Branchiopoda, Diplostraca, Daphniidae.